CAUUAUCGAAAUAGCAUGACGAGUUGUCGCUGGCCCCCAUGCGAGGGUUGUGCACGCUUGUUGUUCUUCAUUUCUCCAUCUCAUUUGUGCACCUCUUGUGUGGAUCAAUGUCCUUUGCGGACGAAUGGGGGGUUUGCUUUGCAAAAUACUUGCGGGCUUUCCUUGUGAUCUAUAUUUUUACAUAUACUCCAGUCACAUAGAAUGAUAUAUAUAUAUAUGGAAAUUGUUAUACAACUUUCAGCAACGGAUCUCUUGGCUCUCGCAUCGAUGAAGAACGCAGCGAAAUGCGAUAAGUAAUGUGAAUUGCAGAAUUCAGUGAAUCAUCGAAUCUUUGAACGCAUCUUGCGCUCCUUGGUAUUCCAAGGAGCAUGCCUGUUUGAGUGUCAUUUAUAUAUCUCAAUCCUGCAUCCGUGAAAAAAAGGGUGUCGGGCUUGGACUUGGGGGUUACAGGCUCUGCUAUUGCAGUCUGCUCUCCUGAAAUACAUGGAGGCCCCUCCCCUGUUUUAAAGGUGUGAUAUAUCUAUCUGCAUCUAAAAUCUUGGGGGGUGUUUGCCGCUGAGGGGGAUGGC
Molecule: ribosomal RNA, 569 nt
Filed under: Inosperma cookei
Lineage: Eukaryota; Fungi; Basidiomycota; Agaricomycetes; Agaricales; Inocybaceae
Description: eukaryotic LSU rRNA
Rfam family: 5.8S ribosomal RNA (bases 233-386)
Source: RNAcentral